GGUGAGCGCGCUGGUUCUAGAUCAUUGUCCCUUCAAUCGUCCUUCGAUCGUCCAGGGAAAAGCCAGGGGAGCGAUAGAGCUCAGCUACAAGGUCUUCAACUUCACGGAAGAUCAAGAUCUCAAGCUCAAAAUCGGCUAUGAUCCUUUCAAACAGGCAAGAACAAACUUUUUUUCGUGUGAUCGAUCGAGAUUCGAGAUUUCUUUUGUUCUUGCGCAGAAGCCAUACUUGCAAUUGAGGGAGAACAAUUGGACAUUCAAUGCCGACAUAAACGGUGCCUGGAACAUCAUCUACGACCUGUAAUUCUCGAGAGCGAGAGGGAACGAACGAUUCUUUCAAUCAUCUCAUUCAUCUUAGCAGCGAAGAAUGAAAGGGAAAAUUUUUUAGAGGUCUUACUUGCGUUUCUUGGUGGCACUGGCUAGUUCUUCCUCCAAUUCUUCUUCUUCCUCCUGCUCUGGAUCGGCUACUUCCAGCGCGCAGUGAUGCCGGAGCAUGUAAUCGCCCAGUAGCUGCAUCGCUUUGCUCUUGAGAUCCACCAGCGCCGCCGAGAGCGAUGGAUUACUCUCGGAUUGGAUCGAUUGGGCCUCCGCCUCGAGCCGGAAGCUCGCCAUAGCCGUCGCCAUUCUAUCUAUCUUCUUAGCCCUAAAAAAAGGC
This 652-nucleotide long non-coding RNA is filed under the name Selaginella moellendorffii. RNAcentral describes it as "long non-coding RNA (SMOE_LNC000603)". The record is from RNAcentral. Lineage: Eukaryota; Viridiplantae; Streptophyta; Lycopodiopsida; Selaginellales; Selaginellaceae.